This 1994-nucleotide unclassified non-coding RNA is filed under the name Hevea brasiliensis (rubber tree). Lineage: Eukaryota; Viridiplantae; Streptophyta; Magnoliopsida; Malpighiales; Euphorbiaceae. The record is from RNAcentral.
UUUGUGUAAAGAAAUAGACCCCAAGAAGUAUCCUCCUCCAUAGAGAUACAAGAACCUUAUUUCUAUAUAGGGCUCAAUCAUUUUUUUUUAAUCUCACAAGAAAGGAAGGUAAAAACAAAGUAAAAGAAAAGACUAAAUUACAGAUGAUAAGAGAGUUACUACUAGCCUUUUGUUUGCUCUGCUAUUGAUAUGUGGUCCAGUACACACACACGCACACACACACACACACACAAACACUCACCUACAGAGGGUACACAGUGAGGAAAAACAGAAAGACCCCACUCCCAUAUAUCAGUUCAUCUGUCCUUUUAUGUAUGCAUUAUGUAUUCAUUGUAAGUAGUAUGUAUUGAUGAUGAUGAUGGUGAUCUUGCUGAGAUCUUGUCUACAGAUCUUUUUCUUUGUUGUGAGUAUGGUUUUUGGCUAUACAGCUAGAGGAUUUCUUUUUCUUCCUUGUAUAUGCUUUCCAAUAUUUCCUAGCAAAGUCAAUCUCCCCGUUGCUGGCCAUGCUCACCUUUGCCAACUACAUGCCAAUGGUACCACGCCCAGAAGAAAGCCUGGGCAUUUGGAGAAAACACGACUUAAGGGAACUAAUAUUGAGAGCGGAAGCGGUGGGCAUUAUGGGGUUAUUGUUAGAAGAAGAUGUACUCGUUUCAUCAACCUCCAAAGCAGCAGUUGAGAAGACAGUGUGGUCGCCAGAUGAUUUCUUAGGAGAGGUAAAAAGGUUAUCGGGAAGGAUAUGCUCCAAACUUUCAUGAAGAUCACUUUCUUCAGUGUUGGUCUUCUCGUCCGUACUACAACUACUACUAUUGCUAUUGCCGUUACUGUGCUUGCUAGCUGGAUUCGCUUCCUGUUCAGCGUCCAGAAACGCAUUUCGAGAAGCUGAUGCAUCUGGGUUACCACCAUUCUCUUCGGGAACUUCUUGAUCAAUGCCAUCAGCUGGAAAAAUGAGGUUCUGACUGUUGGUAGUGUGAGAGAGCGUUGGCGAGGGAAUGGGCGACCCAGUAGACAAUCCAUGAAGGUAUUGAUGAUUGCUAUGGUUUUUGAAGUCGAGAAGUUGCAGAUUCAUUAGCCUUCUCCCUUGCAGUUCAAUAGCUUGCUGCAAUUCAGCUUGCUCCUCUAAUUUCCUUCUCAACAACAUCUCUGGAGUAUUUUGAAACAUUCUAGCUCCAAGAUGGAGGUCAAAUGGCUCCCUAGAAUCAAUUCCAAGAGGGGUAGAACAAGCUGAAUACUCUCCUCGCUCUAUCUGUUGUUGAUGCUGCUGCUGCUGCUUCUUGUCCGGGACUUUUCCCUUCUCCUUGUAAGGCUUCACAAGCACACGCGAAUCACAGACGAAAUGAGGAUUUCCUUUAGUCAAUAUAAGCUUCACUGUCUCUGGAUACACAAAUGUAACAAACCCAAACAUUCUCUUCUGCUGGUAUGGAAUCCUCACAUCUUGCACUGGCCCAUAAAUACUGAAGUAAUUUGAAACAUCUUCUUCUCUAAAAGUGCUAUCAGCUGGAAACGUCAAAUAGAUCUGUCUGGAACCUGGGUUCAUUGCCCCUCCCAAUCCCAUUGGCGAGAAAUCGUUUCUUUCAGGGCGGCAUCUCCCAAACUUGUGAAGCUCAUCCCCCAUCAUCAAUGCAGCUGCGAUCUUUGGGUGUCAUUUUGUUGUUGAAGGAGGAAAUUCAUGCACUUGUUGUAAGGAAAAGAAGCUCCAGUCAUGAACUGUGAGGCUGCGGCUAGCUUUUGCUGCUGGGCAGCAGCAGCUUUGGAUCUAAGAAGUUCCUGGCACUGUUCAAACUCGCUGAGUUUACUUGGUGAGCCAACAAUGGCAGCACCAUCAGCUGAUUCCCCAUGAAGAAACCUGCAACUAGUGCCAUUCUUGCAAAACCCUCUUGCAAAAUACAAGCACGGCUUCCAUCCAAACCCGGAAUUAGAAUCUUCGGACCCAAAACACAUGCCUGGAACCGAAAAGCUUCUUCUAUGCAAAUGGGUAUCACCGUAUGUCGUUGGGC